RNAcentral lists this ribosomal RNA (497 nucleotides) under uncultured bacterium. RNAcentral's name for it is "partial 16S ribosomal RNA". It matches the Rfam family "Bacterial small subunit ribosomal RNA", at positions 28 to 507 of the family's 1533-position model. The record is from RNAcentral.
GAUGAACGCUGGCGGCGUGCCUAAUACAUGCAAGUCGAGCGAACAGACGAGGAGCUUGCUCCUCUGACGUUAGCGGCGGACGGGUGAGUAACACGUGGAUAACCUACCUAUAAGACUGGGAUAACUUCGGGAAACCGGAGCUAAUACCGGAUAAUAUAUUGAACCGCAUGGUUCAAUAGUGAAAGACGGUUUUGCUGUCACUUAUAGAUGGAUCCGCGCCGCAUUAGCUAGUUGGUAAGGUAACGGCUUACCAAGGCAACGAUGCGUAGCCGACCUGAGAGGGUGAUCGGGCACACUGGGACUGAGACACGGUCCAGACUCCUACGGGAGGCAGCAGUAGGGAAUCUUCCGCAAUGGGCGAAAGCCUGACGGAGCAACGCCGCGUGAGUGAUGAAGGUCUUCGGAUCGUAAAACUCUGUUAUUAGGGAAGAACAAAUGUGUAAGUAACUAUGCACGUCUUGACGGUACCUAAUCAGAAAGCCACGGCUAACUACGUG